GAGAAGAGGCUGUGCUACAUUCAGCCCUGCGGCAGGAAGCCAUGGAAGGCAGGGAAGAUCCCCAGAGGAGAAACAUGCCAACCCACUUUCCAACUCCCCAAAGCUGAAAAGUUUGUUUUCUCUGGAUGCUCAAGUGCUCAGACUUACAGGCCCACUUUCUGUGGGAUCUGCCUGGAUAAGAGAUGCUGCGUCCCCAACAAGUCUACAAUGAUUACCGUCAGGUUCGACUGCCCCGGCGAGGGGUCGUUUAAGUGGCAGAUGCUGUGGGUCACAUCUUGUGUGUGUCAGAGGGACUGCGGAGAACCAGGAGACAUAUUUUCUGAGCUCAGGAUCCUAUAGAGCCAGACGGGGAGGAAGGGUUAAGGCUCAAUCAGGCCGCAAUGAAAACACUGAGGUGUCUGCAAAAGGGCACGGCUUACUUAAGGGAUUUAAAACACAAGAGUGACUAUUCUUUGCCUGUUAUAUUUGUGACAAUAGAAGUUUCUAAAACAUAUACAAUAAAACAAAACUGAAUGCUUGAAAAUUUU
Molecule: long non-coding RNA, 527 nt
Filed under: Rattus norvegicus (Norway rat)
Lineage: Eukaryota; Metazoa; Chordata; Mammalia; Rodentia; Muridae
Description: long non-coding RNA NONRATT017798
Source: RNAcentral